Long non-coding RNA from Scleropages formosus (Asian bonytongue), 199 nucleotides. RefSeq lists it as uncharacterized. Lineage: Eukaryota; Metazoa; Chordata; Actinopteri; Osteoglossiformes; Osteoglossidae. The transcript has 3 exons. The record is from RefSeq and is a predicted model, not a curated record.
CUCAGUCAAACACAGGUGGGAGAAAAAACUUUCACUCAUUUUGGAAUUUUGCGAAAUCCAUGAUGGUCCAUUAUAUAACAACAGUGGCUCUGCUGUUUCACCUGCUUCCGUGGCAUGGCUGUGGUGGGGAACAAGCAGCAAGAUCGAAGAGAUUUUUGUCAGUCUUAUUGCCUCAGGAAAAACCAAACCAGAAUACAGG